RNAcentral lists this unclassified non-coding RNA (367 nucleotides) under uncultured fungus. RNAcentral describes it as "partial contains 5.8S ribosomal RNA and internal transcribed spacer 2". The stretch from base 1 to 134 matches the Rfam family "5.8S ribosomal RNA", at positions 22 to 154 of the family's 154-position model. The record is from RNAcentral. Lineage: Eukaryota; Fungi.
UGGUUCUGGCAUCGAUGAAGAACGCAGCGAAAUGCGAUAAGUAAUGCGAAUUGCAGAAUUCCAGUGAGUCAUCGAAUCUUUGAACGCACAUUGCGCCCUUUGGUAUUCCGAAGGGCAUGCCUGUUCGAGCGUCAUUAUCACCCCUCGAGCCCCUGGGCUUGACGUUGGACGGUCUAGGUCGCGCGAAUCGACCCCUCCUAAAGAUAAUGACGGUGGCCUCCGUUGGACCCCGGUACGCUGAGCCCCUUGUGGCAUGUGUCGGAUUAGGGACUUCAGGCCCCGGUCGCCCUUUUCUCCGCCAUCUCGGUGGCGGGAAAAGAACCCAUUUUCUAAGGUUGACCUCGGAUCAGGUAGGAAUACCCGCUGA